GAUGAAGAACGUAGUGAAAUGCGAUAAGUAAUGUGAAUUGCAGAAUUCAGUGAAUCAUCGAAUCUUUGAACGCACAUUGCGCCCCUUGGUAUUCCGGGGGGCAUGCCUGUUCGAGCGUCAUUAUAACCCCUCAAGCUCAGCUUGGUGUUGGGGCCUGCUGCACUGGCAGCCCUUAAAAUCAGUGGCGGCGCCAUCUGGCUCUAAGCGUAGUAAUUCUUCUCGCUAUGGAGUCCUGGUGGAUGCUUGCCAUCAACCCCCAAUUUUUCUAUGGUUGACCUCGGAUCAGGUAGGGAUACCCGCUGAACUUAAGCAUAUCAAUAAGCGGAGGA
RNAcentral lists this unclassified non-coding RNA (329 nucleotides) under soil metagenome. RNAcentral's name for it is "partial contains 5.8S ribosomal RNA, internal transcribed spacer 2, and large subunit ribosomal RNA". The stretch from base 1 to 120 matches the Rfam family "5.8S ribosomal RNA", at positions 35 to 154 of the family's 154-position model. The record is from RNAcentral.